UUCCUUUGGACCGGAUCCGCAUGAAAGCCUUUAGAUCCGUCUGUAGCGGACAUACGGUAUCUGACUGUGGUCCAGAUCUGCACCUGAUAAGAUUUCAGCUCUGCUAGCAAAGCUGUUUUUUCAUCGAUUUACAGAUUUGUUCCAGGUCCGGUUUCCGCAACUCAACCGGAAGUCAGGAGAUGCGUUUAAAAUACAAAACACUAAUUUGGCCCAAACCUGUGAAACGGAUAUGGGCAGAAGGAGCAGGUGGUAAUUGAACAGAGAAGUCAACUAGCUGGCUGCUGUAGAAUAAAAGUUUUUUGUAAUGGCACAAAUUUAGAAACAUGAGGGUGCACUAUGUGCCCAUGGCCACUUCAUUUCUACACCAAAUUUAAGCUAAUUGGCUCAGUAUAUGUGCCAGUUAGACUUUUCAGUGCUGUUUUUCUACAGUCAGCAGAUUUGGGCCAGAUCCACUUACCACAUCAGAACCAAAGCUUCCAGAAAGACAGUUCCCUGAUGUGGCCCACAUCUGUAAUAUUGACCCAAACCACCUCCAAACUUGUGUGUUCCACUCUGGUUUACUGAACAGAGCCGAACGCGCGAAGUGAGUGAGGUCCGUCCGUUUGAGAGACGUUAUGCUGAUCUGGCCCUCAUCCGUACCACGGAUUAUAGCCAGAAACCGUUGGAAUAGAUCAAAUGAAACUUUUGUGGGGGUGCCCAUGCCAUAUUUCGUUUUUAAAUCCUGAUUUGUUAAAUCUUACAAUGGAACACUUGCACGUAGCCUACACAAAAAUGAUUAAUUCACUAACAAAGUAAUAGGCUUGUCUCAAAAUGGAAGAUUUACCACAUAACAAAAUAAUACAUUAGCAACUGUCCACUAUCCAAGUGCAAUGGUCCAAGCUGUAUUGCCAUCCUGGGAAGAAAAAAAAGUUGCGAACAUCGUGGGAAAAAACGGCACUGGCGCACAUAAUGGAUGGCAACAUGGGUGCAUUUAUAGUCCAUCAUGACAUAAAAAAUCCUCUGCAUGCAACCACGAGGAGAGGGGGAAUUUACUAAGGAGUUUUGUCUAUAUAUUAUAUAAAAUCUACUGUUGGGAAGAGCAGAACCUAAUCCAAAUAAAAAUAAACAAGCUGUUAAAAGCCAGUUGAAGGUGGUCAACACAAACCAAAUGAAGAUGUUGCACAUUUCACAAACAAUAAAAAAGAAGAUCAAGUUUUGUGUCCAACACACUUGGAUGAGACGUGCCCGACCCCUGACUUUGUCUACCCUAC
Molecule: long non-coding RNA, 1250 nt
Organism: Paramisgurnus dabryanus
Lineage: Eukaryota; Metazoa; Chordata; Actinopteri; Cypriniformes; Cobitidae
Source: RefSeq, a predicted model, not a curated record